Molecule: transfer RNA, 68 nt
Filed under: Trichonephila inaurata madagascariensis
Lineage: Eukaryota; Metazoa; Arthropoda; Arachnida; Araneae; Nephilidae
Description: tRNA-Phe
Source: RNAcentral
GGCCCGUUAGCUCAGUGGUUAGAGCGUCGUGCAAAACGCGAAGGUCGGGUUCGAUCCUCAGGGGGCCG